AUACGUAGGGGGCGAGCGUUGUCCGGAAUGAUUGGGCGUAAAGGGCGCGUAGGCGGCGCGGUAAGUCUGGAGUGAAAGUCCUGCUUUCAAGGUGGGAAUUGCUUUGGAUACUGCCGCGCUUGAGUGCAGGAGAGGUUAUCGGAAUUCCCGGUGUAGCGGUGAAAUGCGUAGAGAUCGGGAGGAACACCAGGGGCGAAGGCGGGUAACUGGACUGCAACUGACGCUGAGGCGCGAAAGUGUGGGGAGCAAACAGGAUUAGAUACCCUGGUAGUCCACACUGUAAACGAUGAAUGCUAGGUGUAAGAGGUAUCGACCCCUUUUGUGCCGCAGUUAACACAAUAAGUAUUCCGCCUGGGGAGUACGGCCGCAAGGUUGAAACUCAAAUGAAUUGGCGGGG
This 397-nucleotide ribosomal RNA is filed under the name uncultured bacterium. Its description in RNAcentral is "partial 16S ribosomal RNA". It matches the Rfam family "Bacterial small subunit ribosomal RNA", at positions 523 to 918 of the family's 1533-position model. The record is from RNAcentral.